This is a long non-coding RNA of Fundulus heteroclitus (mummichog), 224 nucleotides long. RefSeq lists it as uncharacterized. The record is from RefSeq and is a predicted model, not a curated record. NCBI's taxonomy places the organism in Eukaryota, Metazoa, Chordata, Actinopteri, Cyprinodontiformes, Fundulidae. The transcript has 2 exons.
GACUAAAUAAAAAGCUACUUGAGACUGAUUAUUGGGACGUCAAACCCAAAUCUCUCUCUUUCAUAGCUGUGACAUUAAUCAUCCCUCUGGAUCUGGUUCUGCAGGGGAAAUAACUCUGAAACAACACUCUCUCUUCCUGUUUCCAGCCGCUCAACAUGACGGAACCUCUCGUUCUCCAAUCAGUCCCCAGUUGGCUCCAGCUUUCACACAAACAUCCUAAAAAA